Non-coding RNA from Sus scrofa (pig), 7252 nucleotides. NCBI's taxonomy places the organism in Eukaryota, Metazoa, Chordata, Mammalia, Artiodactyla, Suidae. The record is from RefSeq and is a predicted model, not a curated record.
GCUUGCAUAAUGCAGACAGGUCCAUUUUAAGUGAAAUGAAUUGAAUUAUUUAUUUAUUCCACAGGCUCUGUAAUGUCCAUUGCCGUAUGAUAAAUGAAACCAUGUUUGGUUUCCUUAUGCAUGUUUGAUUUCUAUACACUUAUAUUUUAUACCAAGAAAAAAACCAAUCAACACUGUCAUACAGAAACACCUCUGAUAAACACAUAAAGUGUCUUAAACAAACAUUUGACCUUUAAAAUUUAAGUAUAAACAGGAGGAGAUUUCAUGGAUUUUCUAAUUGUCUUAUCCUGCUGUGGACACUAGCAGGCAUUCUGUCUGUAGCUCCUAACGUGAAUGCACAAAAUAAUUAAUUCAGAGCCUAGGAAAAUUAGUUUAAAAGAAUAAGGUCAUUUUCAGAUCACUAGAUAUCGAUAGUGCUUUUAAUUUCAUCCUCUGCUAUAGUUUUAAGCUUUGGAAAAUUUCAAUACAGAUAGAAACAAUGGGAAGAAAUAAUCACUAGAGGAAAUAUUUCUAUUAAAAAGGUGGAUUAGGGAGAAGGUAAAAUUUCCUAGCUGAAUACAAAUUUUCCGUAUAAUUAUAGGAAGAUCUUAAAAUAAUAGUAAAGGAUCUUCCAAUAUAAGCUAUUAAAUGACUCUGUAUUUGAUAUAAAAGAUUUGGCUAAAACAUUCCAUGUGUAGCAGUGCAUAAUACUUUCUCCUGAAACUUUUCAGGGAGCUGUAUCCAGUCAAGAAAUUUUGUUCUGUUUAGACAGUACUGUGAAUAGUAAUUGAUACUUACCAAAGUUUAAGAGACUACUUGUCUUUGAAACAAUUGAUUUUCUUCUAACCCUACUGCUUUUUGUAAAAAGGUGUCUUUGGAGAUAUUGGUAAGACACAUGCAAUUACUGAAUUGACUUUAUUAAAUGAAUCUGCAGUGCUACUUUAUACCAAAAAAAAAAUUCUGAAAUUUGAUGACCUAAAAGUUAAUUUUAAGAGAAAUUGCAGGUAAUUGAUUCAAAAAUAUUUUCUUUCAAUGCUCAGAAUAUUUCAUUUCUCACUCACUGUACAUACCCACUCAUUUUACCACAAUGCAAAUAGCAUUCUUAAAUUUGUUCUGUUACAGUGACCUGUGGUCUCAAAGUCUGGAUCACAUUUUUAAAAAAGGGAUAUUUAAUUUAUCUUAAAGACAACUAUAUAGUGGCACAAAAGUGUUAAAAAAGAAUUCUAACCAAGUUAGAAUUAUGUCAGUGGAGGGUGAGGGUGGCAGCAGUGGCCUGGCUUGGAUGCCUUUAUUCAUCAUCCUGUCCAGAAUGCUGGGCUGAGUCCAGGCUCUUCAGCCAGCAGAGUUGAUUUUGGGUUGCUUAGCGAGGAGCUGUCAGCACCCAAAUGAUAGUGGCAAAGCUGAAACCAGAGGCUGUCCACAGUCAGUUGGAUGUUGAGUCACCCAGCAGGGGAUACUGGAGUCUAUCAGGCUGAGAGUCUGGAGGGAUAGUGAAGUCCAAUGAGACAACAGAACAUGCCCGCUGACAGUGCGUGUAAAGUGUGGGCCCACUGUUCCUUGAUGCCCCAGUUUGCUGUGCCUCAAAGAGCACAAAAUUUCACUGGACUCACGAGCACGUCAAAGCGAAGGAAAGACUACCUCCAGUUGAAAUGUUUAAUAAGCCACAAGUCAAAUUUGGGAGUAGUGUGUUCUGAAUCCCAUCGGUCUGCUAAGCAGCAGUUCUACUGGGAAGCCUGGCCUGAAUCUCUUCCCCAUCCUUACCUCCACUGACUUGGCAACUUUCAGGUACCCUGUUUCUCAUAAAUGUAGCAUAAGUAAAUAGAAGGAACUUUUUACUUAUCCUUGGUUUCUAGCAGUCCCUGUAAUUCUUGGAGAAGUGACUCUGUCAUCCAGCUUUGUGUCUGUAUCCCUUGUACACUGGCUAAUUUAUAAUAGGUACUCAAUGCAGUUUGAUGAAUAAAUGAACAUUUACAUGUAUUUAAUAAUUAUUGUCAUUAUACAUGCACACAAACACACACACACACACAUACCCCAAAUCAAACUGUCAACAAAUCAAAAAGCAAAGGGAAGAUCACAGAGGUACUUAUGGUGGGUUACAGUGGCCCAUUAAGGAUUUAUUUUAGUAAGAAACACCACAAGAACAGUAUUAACAAUUCUUAGUGCUUUGCUAAGCGCUAAGCUUAUUAAUAUCUGUGAAGAUGUGACAGUUAUAACCCACAUGAUUUCCUCACGUGAAAAUGAAUAAGUAAAUACAGUUUCAGAGAACAAAGUGACAGUUUUUGUAAUGUAUAAAGGCAAUCGUUAGGCAAAUACAUAUUUUUCUUUUUUGUUAUUUUCUACAUGUGAUAUUCCACAAGAUAUACACUAACCUACUAAAAAUGAUACUAUUUGGCUUAUAACAUAAAGUAAAUAUAACUCAAACAAAUUAAAACUAUUUAUAAAGCCAGUUAUUUUAAUCCAUAUCCGGGUUCAUGAAGUAUGAAUGUAAUGGCAUUCUGUCAAUAUUGCCUGUCUUGUUCAGGGGUACUGUUAAGUGAAGCUAUAAACUUUCUGUCAUAAGGGAUACAUAUUAUUUUCUAAUUAAAAAUUGCUUCAGUAGUCAAAGUAUGACUUUAUUCUUAUUAUGAAAUUCAAAGAACACAUGUACCUAAAGUUAAUUGUGAACCAUCUUCACUUGGUGGAACCCCUUCUGUUUGUAAUCCCUUCCCAAGAGGUAACCACUGCUAGUAUUAUGUUGCUUAUCUUGAAGUCCUUCUGUUUUGGAUGUAUACCUGUAUCUCUCUAAAUGUAGUCUUUUUUUUACCCAAAAAUUAUACUGUACAGCUCCACCUGUAAAAUUCUCAGUGACAUCUCUAAUAAACAUGUAUGACCUUACAUUUGGAGAACUCUUUCUCCUUUUCUAUUUAAAAAUAAUUUAAUUGAGAAUUCACUCUUUUUUCCUUGCUUUUCCCACACCUGGGAAGGAUUGACCCACCAUGUUUCCUAGGUGGACUCUGAUUGUUUUAUCUAAUUAGUUGAUCCUCCUCCAGGCCACAGUGACCAGCUUCUAGUUGGGCUCUAAACCCAUCUGCGCUAAGGAGAAGGGGUGACAUGACUGAGAAUUGUGAGAAGCUGUAAUAGAUACUUUGGAAAGUCAAAGGGUGAGACCUUUCUCCACGCUAGACCCAGUUCUCUAUUCUUUAAAAAUAAGCAACAAAGCAGAAAUUUCAGGGCAUUCUUGAUUCAAUAGACCAAUGAUCCGACAGAUUAGUGCCCAAUAUUGCCUGUUCAAAAUAAUAUUACACAACACCAAGAUGUCACUUUCUAGGUUCGGUGUGUUGCUUCUGAGAGUUCCUGUUUUUUUAGUAUUUGCAAGCUGGACUACUUCCCCUUGACCACAACACUCAGCCAUACUUUUUGGCAGGCAGCCUGGGCUUCUGCUUCAAAGGAGGAGGGAUAUCCUACCUCUCUCUCAUAAUGCUUUUUAAGGUCAAAAUGAUUGACAGUAAUGACAUCCAAUCAAAACUCAUUAUCCAAUUUGAGAUGGGUUUCAUGAGUCAGGUCUUUCUCUGGCCUCCAUAACCAAUAUUAAACAGUAAGCUAAAACUAUUAUUAGAUACAUAUUUCCCAUAAGAAUUACAUGUUUAUCACAAUCUUAUGAAUUGAUUUUUCUCCCACAAAGAUAUCUAUAGAUCUUAGGGUGACUUUCUCGAGAGUCAUAUUUUCUCCUUACCUUUUAAUCUAGAGAAAAGGAAAACUUUAUUAAAUAUAUGGAGAGCAUAAAGGAAACUUCAGGCCUAUAAUGGAUAUGACCAAGUGUUUCUCAUAAAAGAUAGAAAAGCCAGCUUCUUUCAUGAGAACUAUCAGAUGGAACCCUCUUUCCACUGGAAAUGAUCAAGGUGAGGGUAGUAGGAUGUGUAGUCUUGUUGCUUUUGAGAAAUCUCAAUGCCCACUUGGCUUUAAUAAAUUUUUUCAGGUAAGCAUUUUUAAAUGUUUUCUUAAUUGCAGCCGAGUCCUGAGUGUUAAUAGAGAACCUGCGAUAGGAAGGCAUGAUUUCUUAUCCUCAAGGAGUUUAUAAUAUAAUAGUGGAGCAGACUCUGGAUUAGAGGACUAUAAUUGCUAUUUUGGCCUCUGUAACAUCACAUAGCCAAAGCUGUAAUCUAAUGGAUAGAGGUAAAUGUGAGAAAUACCUGAAAUAAGAGAGGAAUUGUGAGGGUUUAUGGAUAAAAAGCAUCCUUGUUGUGGGAAUAGCAAGAGCAAAGACCCAGAAGUAGAUUAUGCCUGGCAUGGUACAAUUAUAGCAAGGAGGCAAGUAUGAAGGAGUAAGCCCAAAGUAGAAUGCUAGUUACUGAAGUCAAGAUAAUUACAGGGGGCCAAAUCACCUCAGGGCGUAUAAUCCAUUGUAAGUACUUUAGAUUUUACUCUGUGUGACUUUGGAAGGCACUGGGGGCUUUUGAGCACUGAAUAACAUGAUCUAAUUUGUGUUUUGCAAGGUUACUCUGGCGGUAACAUGGAGAAUAUCUGUGGAGGCAAGAAUGGAAAUAGUGAGACCAGUUCAAAAGCAAUACCAACAAUCCAGUGAGUCAUAAUGAGGCCUUGACAAGGGAAGGGAGCUAGAGAUUAUGAGAUUUAAACUUGAUUUUUAAAAAGAGUCAUAGGAUUUGCUCAUGAUUUGGUAUUAACAAAGAGAAGAGGUAAGAAAAACACCAAGAGUUUUGGCAUGGGUUGUGAAAAAAUGGAGGUACCAUGUAUAGAGAUGGAAAGUCUGUAAGAAGGCAGUUUAGGGAGCUUGGGAAUGAUGAGCUUGAGUUUGGAUGUACUGCAUUUGAGAUGCCUGUUGGACAACCAAUUAGAAAUGAGAGUAGACAGGAAAAAAAAAUAGUCUGGAGUUUGAGAAAGGUCUGGAUUGCUGAGGUACAUUUGGCAUACAUAAGCAUGUAUUUGGGAUUUAAAAAUAUGGGGCGUCUGAGAUCACCGAGAGAGAGAGAUUGUAGACAGAGAAGACAAGAGUUCUGGAGAUAGGGCCCUGGGGACACUCCGCAACAUUUAGGGUUGGGAAGAUGAGCAGAAAUCAGCAAACGAAACCAAGAUGGAGCAGCCAAAUAGGGAGAAGGAGAGCCAGGAAAGAGAGGUAUCUGAGUAGCCAAGGAAUGGAAGGGUUUCAAGCAAAGCUAACUUUUCAGUUCUGCCAAAUACUAUAAAUGGGUCAAAUAAGUUGAGGUCUGAACAUUGACUGUUAGUUUUAGCAUGUAGAGAUCCUAAAGGCCUUGACAAGAGCAAUUGGGUGCAGUGGAGGACAAAAAAAUUUAAAGUGGGUUUAAGCAACAGUGGGCAAACUUGGAGGGGGAGGUGGGUUUUGGAGCCUUAAAAUAUCAAUCAUCAUUAUUAGGAAUUAUUUUUGAUAACACUCAAUAAAGGAAUCAUGGUUAUUAUUAAGCUUUUAUUUUGCUAAUGGAAAAACAAUCUGACAGUGAAAAAGAGCAAAUGCUUUGAAAAAAACAAAGGAACCAACUACAGGAGUGAGUUCCUUCACUAGGAGAGGGAGGUGGUAUUUAGUAUAGAUGAGGUAGAGUUGGCCUUAGACCAUUAAGAUUUUAUUUAUUAUGACAUAUUGAUGACUGGAAGAUAGACAAAACAUUUGGGUGCAGCUAUUCAUAGGUUUGUUGACUUAGUGAUGGGAGUGGAAUUCCCUGUGCAGCCAUAAAUGGAACAAAUCAAACAGGACAUGGGUGUUAAAAUGCAACCAAAUUGAGAAUUUAGUGAAAAUAGCAUCUUAGAACCAAAAGUGAACAUGAAAUCACCCAAGGAUUCCACAGAAAUCUUCAGGAAGCCUUUGGAUUUCCUUAGCUGACAUCUGGGUUGUUUUAAACAUAUAGAUUCUCUCUCUCUCUCUCUCUCUCUCUCUCUCUCUCUCACACACACACACACACACACACACACACAUCCCUCUUAUUAUGAAUGAGCAAACAUUUGAUCUAAAGUCAGAUAAUCUAAUACCAGUGUUGAUUGACUGUGAUACCUUGUGGAAAAUUGAAUCUUCUCUCUGAGCUUCCAUUUUAUCUGCAAAAUAGAUGUAAUAUUUCAUUUCUAUAUAACUUGUGAACACACAUCUAUCUAUUCAAAUCCCUUGUGGAUAUCUCCAUUUGAUUUCCCAUAGAUAUUCCAAAGAUAUAAAAUCAGAAUCAUUGCUCCUCUAAUUUCUCCAUGAUAUCACCAUUUUUGAAUGAGUAGACACUGUCAUGGACCAGGUUACCCAACUCUUCCACCUGUAGUAUUUAACCUAGAUCUCUACUGUCCUCCCUGGCACCUCAACUCUAACUGAUAAUUAAUUGAUAGAUUAAAUUACCUCCAUAGUAUGUCACCUUACCAUAAUGUAUGUUUAUGUUUCAGAUAUAUGAAGUCUAGGUCUUUGUAAAUGCAAUAGCUUACCUUCCCACACUUUUCUUUGGACAUUGUUUUGACUUAAUAUUGUUUCCUGAAUUGUGUUUAUGUUGUCAUUGUUGUGUUCUAAUUUUUUCUCCUUCCAAAAGAUUUUGUUUUUGUUUUUUUAACUUAAAAAAGGAAUACCUCAGCCCCUUUAACCUUUCUGUUUCCAUUUUUUCUCUCUGGAGUUUCUAACAUUUUUCAUAAAAUAUUUAUCUACUGUAUAUUUACAAAAAUAUACUAAAUGUAUAUUAAAUAUCAAACAUCUUAUAUUUUGUCUGAGUUGUAGAGUACCGACCUUCAACUUUGAAAAAAGGUUUCCUGCAUCUGGAUUUCCUGCUUGCCCCUGCAUUUGAAUAAUGAGUCAAAUAGCCUUAUGAGUAAUUGUAUCUUUUGUGCAAUUAGAACUUUCCACGGCAUUAUAAUUUAUAGUAUGGUUGAAUUGAGCAAUAUGUAAUGAGUCCUUUUACAGAGGCUUUUAAGGAAGUUAUUUCUGAAGGUCUGCCUAAGAGGCUAAAAUACAUCUGAAUUAAAAAGAAUGACAGGCUGCAAUCAGGACUAUAAAAUAAAGGUGCUCAGUAAGCAGCCCUAUUACAAUCAGAAAGUGAAGGAAACGUAUCUCUGUCUUGUGUGCAGAGACAGAGGAAAUGAUGAAUACUUUAGGUAACUCAUUCUGUGCAAAAUCAAUCUUUCACUGUCAAUUUUAAAUGAACUAAUUUGUUCACAAAUCUGCUCAGUCAGUUUGGAAGCAUACUCUGUUCCUUCAUAUUAGCAAAUCCUUUAAUCUUGACUAGUCCACUGAGUAAGAAAUCUAGAAAUGUGUUAAUAUGAUUGGACAUAUGUAGUAGGAUAAGAAUUGAUUCUUUUAAUU